AUCUUUUUAUAGGACUUGAGCAACACUGAGUUUUCAUGUGGUUGUGGGAGAAGUGACUCCUACAAACCUUGUUAUGACAUUGGCAGAUUACCCAUCUGAUG
Molecule: small nucleolar RNA, 101 nt
Organism: Erinaceus europaeus (western European hedgehog)
Lineage: Eukaryota; Metazoa; Chordata; Mammalia; Eulipotyphla; Erinaceidae
Source: Ensembl